AUUUUCUCUCCAAAGGAAAACACCUUCAUUUUAAGUCAAACAAUGGCCGACGAAUCUUCUCUCUCUCGCUGGUCCUUUCUGUUUGGGUGGAGGAGAUUAACUGAGCCACAGGACGAUCAAGCUGCUGAUGCGACCGUCUCCAAUGUCACUGUGACCUCAAAUGGAAAUCAUUCUGCUAAGAACUCGUCUGAUAUGGCUAUUUACGAGCAGUACCAAAAGCAGAAUACGAACCAGGUGCUUUCCAAUGGUGUGGUGUC
Long non-coding RNA from Hibiscus syriacus, 257 nucleotides. RefSeq lists it as uncharacterized. The record is from RefSeq and is a predicted model, not a curated record. The transcript has 3 exons. Lineage: Eukaryota; Viridiplantae; Streptophyta; Magnoliopsida; Malvales; Malvaceae.